GUAACAAUGGUGUUUUUUUUUCCAGAGUGUGAAAACACAAAUCUUUUGUGAUGUGUUGUGACAGACCCUCUUCCUUCUGUGUAUUGGUGAUCACUUGCCUUUAAUUAUCAGGCUGGGCGGGGUGAUUUCCGGAGAGUGCUUCCACACCUGCAAUUGAUCAGCGAUCACAUCACAUCCGGUGUAUAAGACCUCCGCUGAUCUGCGGGCGCCAGAUGAUUCACGCGUUUUGAGUCCUGUUCCGGCCAUUACUGCAGCACAUGCUGUGUUGAGUUGCCAUUUUGAACUUUGUGUGCAGAGACCAAGACCGGCCGAGGUGGAGCGACGCUUAAGUGAUUCGCCAAAUAUGGGGAGUAGCCUGCAACCUCUGCGGGGCUGACACAUUACUGGCAUAGCUGAGCUUAUCGGUCCACGGGCACAUGGACUCUGAGCCACGCGAAGAAUUCCCGGAACACAAGGAAAGCAUUCGUGAGUUCCAGCAAAGCCUCGUGGAGCAGAGUCUGGAAAGUCCGGGCUGACUCAACGCGGCGUCACCCUUCCAGAAUGCAGCGAGCCAGCACAGACGACGAGCGAGAAAAGCAGACAGCGAGGCAGCAGGCGCGCUGUCUGAAAACGCAGCUGAGGAGUAAAGGUCGUGAUCUGGACUUGGCAUUGGUCGCAUGCUCAUCUGCAUUCGGACUGAGGGUCAGCGGCGCUCACCGGGGAAGGGAGCUGCGUGAUCAAGGAUAAGAUGGCGCCACGGCGGAUGCCAGCGCGAUGAUUCUUCCAACCUCCGCGGAGAGCCAGAAUGAAUUUAGGCGCUCUUGGACGAGCCGGAUGACAGAAUGAGGCACAAAUUACACUUGUUAACGAAGGACAAUGAGUGUGACUUGCAGCUGUCUAAUCUCAUAUCUCUCAAGCACGCCGAGAACCCGGAGGAGGAGAUCUGCCGCUCGGAGCCAAGAACACACGCUCGUUCAUGGGCCGUCAUCUGCCUUGGAGAUCUGGCAUGUCAGAUAGCACACAACGGAUGAGGCCACAGUGUCCGGAUAACAAGGACUGCUACGGACACUAUGGAUUUCAAGAUGAGACGAGCAAGAACCUGUGAGUCAUAAAGGAGGACAUAUCCAGUGGUAGAAAAAAAAAAAAAGAAGACAAUUUUCCCCAAAUGUGUUUGAGUUCUCAUUAAGCGGUGAUUCUUGUAUAUCUUUCUGUAAAAUCCCAUCUUGGUGAGUACAGCUGCACCAAAGCUGAUGUGACUGCAUGGGCCUGAGCACCUGGGGAGUGUCCUAGAAAAGCCAGAGAAACAAUUUUGUUCGGAACUGGGCAUACUGUGGCCUCUUUCUGAGAAGACCGAAUGAAUCUUACUGUGCACUUACACGCAUUGCAAUUCAACUGAACAACAGACUUGUCAUCCUUGUUUCCUUACAAUGUCCAGAGAUGCUUAUUAACUCAACUGCGGGGGCUGCCCACCCUCAAUAAGAGGUUUUUUUUUUUUUUGUAUAAAUGCAUUUUCAGUAUAAUGUUCCACCUAUCCAGUUUCCAUUGCGCUUGUCCUCAUUAGUGCCAACCUACUGCUGAGCACAUACAGACAAACAACCAUUCACACUUAGGUUCACUCCUACAGGGGCAAUCAAGAGUCUCCUCACCCGACUUGCAUGUUUUCAGAAAUGUGAUAGGAAGCUGUCGUAUCAGGAGUACAUGGAAACUGUAUAAAGGUUCUGAGAUUCACACCGUCUCGACUGUGACUCUGCAUACAAGACACACUCACUAAACUCAAGUAUACACAACGCCGUUGUGCUCCCUUUAUUAUAGUAUUAAUAAUAUACUGGUUACAUUGAUUGCCAUUUUCCUUGUAAAAUUACACUAAAAUUAGCAACGUUUAAAAUUACAAUAUUUUUUUCAGUAGAUAUCACUUUUAAGUAUAUAUCACUCCCCCUAACAAAAUGAAGUACAGUUUGGUAGGUAGGUCAGUCAGUGAUUCCAAAGCAGGGUCUCAUGGGAGAUCAUCAGGGAGGCUGCAAGAAUGUAUCCAAUUUCACUUAUUUGUGGUUUCCAGCGAUUAUCUCCUCCUUGUGUUGAGAUAUAUAUAGCUAGCUAUUCAUCUACCUCGCUAGCUAGCGAGGUAGAUACAUAGCUUGCUAGAUAAAUAGCUAGCUAGC
This is a long non-coding RNA of Hippocampus comes (tiger tail seahorse), 2138 nucleotides long. RefSeq lists it as uncharacterized. The record is from RefSeq and is a predicted model, not a curated record. NCBI's taxonomy places the organism in Eukaryota, Metazoa, Chordata, Actinopteri, Syngnathiformes, Syngnathidae. The transcript is spliced from 6 exons.